ACCAAUUAACCUACCUCACAUUAUUCCUCUCUCCACUGCUCUACGAUCGACGUGCCGAACGGAGCUUCAACCAAGCAAUGGCAUCCGGCCUCCUGAAUCGGAAUCUCUUUCCGAUUUCUGCAACAUUGGUGAGAAUUUCUACAUGAACUCUGUUCGCUCAGAACCUGAAACUGAAGAGCUCGAGCUCAGCAUUCGCGUGAAAAGAAUGCAGUUUUCGAGCAAUGGAAGCAACCUUUCUACAAGUUUUCUAUCGUAUCUCUGCCUUUUGCUCAAGCUUUUCGCUGUGAGUAAAUAUAUAUAAAUUUUCGCGUUUACAUGAUUUUGGAUUAGCACUUCUGAUGAAGUUACCUUGAUUACUUGAUAUUGAUAUCCACCAAAAGACUCCGAGAACUGUCGCGAGUUACUUGUAUUCUUCAUUUACAUCCUCAUGAUAUUAAUCUUCAUUUUCAUAUGUAUUUUUUAAAAGUUUUUGGGAGGUGAUCCGCUCUUUAUUUCAUUCUAACCAGCUCUCCGGAUUGUUUCUUUUUUUCCAGCUCAAUAUGUGUCUUUAUUUUUUUGUUUCAUCUGGUAUUUUUACUUGAUAUCCUCCUUUAACUAGUUUGUUCUACAAUAUGCAAUUCCGGUGUGGAACAUAUUUUAAACAGAUACAGUUGCUAAGAUUAUAUGUCAUAUCAAUGCAAUUAAAUGGAACCAACAGUUGUACGCGGUAGACCUAGAACUACUUUGUUAAUGUUAAUUACAUAAUCGCCCAGAGAUGACAGACUGAUAGACACAUAGGAUUAAUAAGAUUUAGCCUAUCUAUUUUGCUAUAUUCUUUUAUCCUGCUUACAUUAUUUUCUGUCGUGGAAAUCAAGUUUUUGCCAAUGCUUACAUUCUAGCAUCUCUAAAACUAAGAUUUAAAGACUUGCCUUGACAAUCAAAUGUAAUAGAAUCAAACAAUUGUCCCGAGAGAUUAGUCAAGGUCCACCACAAGUUGGCCGGACACUCAUGGAUAUUAAAAAAAAAAAAAAAAAAAAAUAGUUAGGGUAAAACAAGUAUUUAUCUGGUUCUGGUCAGGAAAUUGCUCAUAUCAGUAACCUCUUAUCCUUAUAUGAUGUCUCUCAUCUUGUUGCUAAAGAGCAGGUAGCCACAUCUUCCUUCUCUUCAUUGGCAAGACUUCUAUGGGGCUCAAGAACAGUGUCGGUUAGUUCUCUCAGCAGGAGGAAUAUUAAUUUGGUAACGUGUCUUUCUGAUUAUGCAGUUAUCAUAUGUCGGAGGCCAAAACAACACUAUCUUCUUAUAGCUUGGGGUUUACCUUUAUUGAAUUACAUAGGUUAUAUUGGAACAAAAUAUAUGUUACGCAUGGAGGAGUUAUAUUUCUAUGGAGUUUACUAGGAAGAUAUGAAGAGUCAGAGUGGCUUAUUGAGUUGGUUACAAAAAGGAAUGCAGUUUCGAGAUGAAUUUGGUCGACCUAUUUUUUGUUGCACCAAUAUCUCAUAUAUAAAUCUAAUUUAAAGCUUGAGCUGUUGACUUUAUGGCUACCUCUCCUCCAUUUUACUCUGUAAAAUCAUCCUGGUACCUAAAAAUGAUUUAUUUCAUGCAAAUGGAUGCAGUUUUAUUUGGAACGCAUUUUCUUUGAAUAUUGGUUUGAUAUUUAGCUUUUAUUUGUCUUAAAUGAAUGGAAAAGAUACAUAAAAAAAACUGGUUUUUUGUUGCAUCCUGAAGCUUUACGACGCAAUUAUUUCUGUAACAAGUUUCCAAUUUCCACUUGUUGAAACAGAGUUGUCUGCCAUCAUGGAUAUCGUGUGCAGUGUGAAUAUCCAUUCAUAGGGAACUGCCUCAACAGACCCACCACCCAAAAAGUUGGAACUUUUCUCAUACGAGAACAACCUGGGUAUACUCGAAGUGUGCGCGAGGCAUUGUGAGAGUUGGAGCUUCCUUGCAUCUUUCAUAAACGUUGGAGAAGGAUCAUAACGGACAAAGUUACAUCUCAACAUCUCCGGAUCGAAAGAGGUUUGCUAUUUGAUUUCCGUCUGAAUAUCUCCAUGCUCUUGAGGUUAUGUAUUUCUCUCAUUAUCACGGUGGAUUUUAUAGCACAACUCUAAGACUUUUUUUUGACAUGGAAACACGUAGAUAUCAAAUCUUAAAUAGGUAAUCACCAUAGUUUGAACAACACGAGAUAUCAAAUUAUAAGUUUAGUGAAUCUAAACUUAUAAUUUGACCUAAAUUUAAUUCUAUCAAACUUCAACUUUUCUUUUUUACUUGUUAGUUUGAAAUUUUGUAGUUAGUUUGAAAAUUUGUAAAAAGUUACACAAAUAAAAAUCAAUAUUAAUUGGAGAGUAAAUGAAAUUACAGGAGUUUGAGCACGAUACCUCCUACAUUGUAAACUAUAAAUUCUCCUUCUUUUUUAGCCAUACAUACAUAUAGCCUCUAGAUCUCUCUCAUUAAAUGUUGUUUAGUUCACUCAUGUGGCUCCUCUAUUCGAGCGUCACAUACCAACUAACAUCUACUUUAGUUCGUCUCUAAACCACAUUGUACGAGGAGAGAUUCCUUAGUGAUACCAUGUGUAACACCUUAGGUCCAAGAAUCAUACAAGAAUUUGAAUUCAAUAUUGAGUACCUUGUAGCCUUGACGCUCCCUUGCACUUGAUGCGAUCUAGUCAUGCUAUCCUACUCAUCUUGAGAUGCUACGAGGAUGAAGAUCGUUCGUGGAAACUAAUACAAGAGUCCUUUCAGUAUUGUUAUGUUAUUUCUCUCAUUGCCUUGGUGAGUUUUUAUAACAGUGAAUAAUCGUCUAAGCACUACUACAUUUCUUGACAUGGAAAUACGCAUAUAUCAAGUCUCAAAUAGGUAAUCACUAUAGUUUGAACUUAUUUACUGCCUAUCUUUUAGUUCUAAAAUUUGUUUGAGUUGAUCCAUCCAAAAUCAAAAUGCCUCAAGACUCAAACUAUGCUCUAGUUGGUUUUACGUUAUAUGAUGUCUGUCAUAUUUACUUCAGUCGGCUAUAUAUAUUGCAUGUUUACUGUUACCUCUAUUGUUUCAAAUAUCUAAACCCUAAAUAUCAGGUGCCUUAUUUUGUCGAUCCCAGUACUGGUAUUGAAACUGGCAACAAGCAGAUUUUGUCUCAUAUAUUCUAGACAUGUUCUGCAGCCACCCUGCAAUUUUGGCGUCUGAUACCAUUACAUGCCUUACCUGUAAAGCAAUACAAGUCUUUGCCAAACAAGCUUUUAUAGUCGCAAAUAUAUUUUUGUACAAGAAGAAAGCAAGGGUAUUGAUUGCAUUCUUAAAUAUUAUGUCCUAAAUCCCUAUUGAUGAGUAUGUUGAAUGUAAUAUUAGUUUUACAAGAUCAACAAAAGAACUUGAAUGCUAGAUAGACCAUAUCUUCAA
Molecule: long non-coding RNA, 3365 nt
Organism: Cucurbita maxima (winter squash)
Lineage: Eukaryota; Viridiplantae; Streptophyta; Magnoliopsida; Cucurbitales; Cucurbitaceae
Exons: 2
Source: RefSeq, a predicted model, not a curated record